GGGUGCGAUCAUACCAGCACUAAUGCACCGGAUCCCAUCAGAACUCCGAAGUUAAACAUGCAUGGGCGAGAGUAGUACUAAGAUGGGUGACCUCUUGAGAAGUCCUCGUGUUGCACCCU
This 119-nucleotide ribosomal RNA is filed under the name Ricinus communis (castor bean). The record is from RNAcentral. Lineage: Eukaryota; Viridiplantae; Streptophyta; Magnoliopsida; Malpighiales; Euphorbiaceae.